This 289-nucleotide ribosomal RNA is filed under the name uncultured bacterium. Its description in RNAcentral is "partial 16S ribosomal RNA". It matches the Rfam family "Bacterial small subunit ribosomal RNA", at positions 28 to 339 of the family's 1533-position model. The record is from RNAcentral.
GAUAAACGCUGGCGGCGUGCCUAACACAUGCAAGUCGAACGCCCUGGAGCAAUUCAGGGAGUGGCGGACGGGUGAGGAACACGUGGGUGAUCUGCCUUGAGGUGAGGAAUACCGGCGAGAAAUCGCCGACAAUACCGCAUAGGUUCGUAAGAACAAAGUCGCAAGACGCCUUGAGAUGAGCCUGCGUCCGAUUAGCCAGUUGGUGGGGUAAUGGCCUACCAAAGCAGCGAUCGGUAGCUGGUCUGAGAGGACGAUCAGCCACACUGGGAUUGAGAACGGCCCAGACUCC